GAAACUUCAAACUCCAGUUUGUGAACAAAGUCCUGUCUAUCUUCUGAAUAGGAAUCUCCGACCACUGACCAAACUCCAUUUGUAACUACUGCCUAUUUGUACCUUCUCCUCAAUGACUACAUUUCAUUUGCCUAACUCUGAUCUCAAAGGCAGGCGAGCGGCCGGGAAGCAAGACAAGUAAACGUUAGAAAUCCAAGAGCCAGCAGCUUGAAGGAAAAGGCAAUCAUGGUGGAACUGGAACUGAUGGCCCUAGAUGUGGAAUAUAAACUGUCUCCGGGGACUUAUUUGAUUCUUUCUGAGGGAACGACAGCAUGAUGGAACUGUGAGUGUUUGUGAGGCCCGUCCAGGAGCGCGUUGACGUUGAUAAGAGUAAAGUAGAAGGAACAAUGUGCUGCCUGCAGCAGAAACGGCUGCUGCUGCAGGAGAUGCUGCAGAUAGGGGCACACGGCACCAGGACACCCUGGGGUGCAAUCUUUUCAGUCUAUAAUUCUUUCAUUGGAUUUGCACCUACAUGUUGUGGCCGCCUUUGUGAAGGGAGGAACUGAUCUGUCAACUGUUCACCACCUGGUGCAUCCUCUGCCGGUGGUGAAGAGCAUCUCUGAAUGCACAACACCGGAACCUGCAGUGUGGGAG
Cololabis saira (Pacific saury) is the source of this 633-nucleotide long non-coding RNA. RefSeq lists it as uncharacterized. The record is from RefSeq and is a predicted model, not a curated record. Lineage: Eukaryota; Metazoa; Chordata; Actinopteri; Beloniformes; Belonidae. The transcript is spliced from 3 exons.